GGCAAUUGAAAAGCAACAUGAGAACAAUGUUAACCAAAUGGCCAAAGCGGGCUCGACCAUCAGCUAUGAUAGUUUUAAACUAGAUUGAUAUUUGUUAUCUUUGAUCACCAAUAAGAAUAAAGUUUGACUUUGUCCAACAAUUGAGGUAAGGACAUUUCCGAAUGUUUGAAUAAUCUGUGGUUUCUUUCGUUCCAAAUAAUCCACACACAUAAGAGUUAAAUAAGUUGCAAAAAGGAACAUCGCGCUCGAAGACCACCUGAUGAAUAAGUAAACUG
Molecule: long non-coding RNA, 275 nt
Filed under: Trifolium pratense (red clover)
Lineage: Eukaryota; Viridiplantae; Streptophyta; Magnoliopsida; Fabales; Fabaceae
Description: long non-coding RNA (TPRA_LNC007939)
Source: RNAcentral